CCUACGGGAGGCUGCAGUGAGGAAUAUUGGUCAAUGGGCGGAAGCCUGAACCAGCCAAGUCGCGUGAGGGAAUAAGGCCCUCCGGGCCGUAAACCUCUUUUGCCGGGGAGAAAGGGCGGGGACGUGUCCCGGCCCGGAGAGUACCUGGAGAAAAAGCAUCGGCUAACUCCGUGCCAGCAGCCGCGGUACUACGGGGGAGGGGAGCGAUCUCGGGCUUUAUUGGGGUAAAAGGGAGCGUAGGCGGGCGAUUAAGUCAGCGGUAAAAUCGAGGGGUCGAACCGCGCACCGCAGUUGAAACUGGCGUUCUUGAGUGGGCGAGAGGUGUGCGGAAUGCGUGGUGUAGCGGUGGAAUGCAUAGAUAUCACGCAGAACACCGAUUGCGAAGGCAGCAUUCCGGUGUCCAACUGACGCUGAGGCACGAAAGCGUGGGUAUCGAACAGGAUUAGAUACCCCUGUAGUC
Molecule: ribosomal RNA, 460 nt
Filed under: uncultured bacterium
Lineage: Bacteria
Description: partial 16S ribosomal RNA
Rfam family: Bacterial small subunit ribosomal RNA
Source: RNAcentral